Gracilinanus agilis (Agile Gracile Mouse Opossum) is the source of this 810-nucleotide long non-coding RNA. RefSeq lists it as uncharacterized. NCBI's taxonomy places the organism in Eukaryota, Metazoa, Chordata, Mammalia, Didelphimorphia, Didelphidae. The record is from RefSeq and is a predicted model, not a curated record. The transcript is spliced from 3 exons.
UACCUGUUGGGGAAUGAAGAUCAGGAAGGAUGUUUUGGUCUUGAAAGUCACAGAGAUGCUGAGUGGAAUAACAGGUCAAUCAGUUGUCAAGCCCCCUCCAGAAGCAAUGGCAACGUUGAUUUGAUUCUAAUUCACAGAGCCAGAAGAGGACGCUAGAAGAAAGGGGGGUAUGUUUAUGGGCCAGGAUAAAGGAGCAUGGAUAGGACUUUUCCAGCUGGAUAUAUUAGGAUCCCAUCCAUGAGGUCAGCCCAGUCCCAGGGCAGUUUCUCCCCCUGGGGGGUCUGGAGGUCCAGUUGGAGGGUGGAGCAGCAAAUACCAAAAGUGAAAGAACAUGGCUUGGCCAACUAUAGUGAGAAGGUUAGAUCUUCAACCAAAAUUGGGAAGUUCAGAAAAAAGGUAAGUUUGGAGAGGAAAGAUAGUUUUGUUUUGAACAUGGUAAGUUUGAGAUGCCCAUAAGACAUCACUAGAUGCCCUCUCUGAAAACAGCUUUGCAGCUUGCCAUAACACCAGGUGCUGAGGGCAUCUCAUGGGCCUUCCGUUCUGUCUCUCCAGCAGACAGAUGAAGCUGCACAGACAGACAGCCAACAGCUACAUUCCUCAGAGAACACAGACAAGCAGCAGCCCAAGAGAUUACACGUCUCCAACAUCCCCUUCCGGUUCAGGGAUCCUGAUCUACGGCAAAUGUUCGGGCAAUUCGGAAAAAUUUUAGACGUGGAGAUCAUUUUUAACGAACGGGGCUCCAAGGUAAAUAACGCCACAGCCCGAGUUAUGACCAACAAGAAGACCACAAAUCCCUACACAAAUGGUAAG